AUACGUAGGGUGCAAGCGUUAAUCGGAAUUACUGGGCGUAAAGCGUGCGCAGGCGGUUUUGUAAGACAGAGGUGAAAUCCCCGGGCUCAACCUGGGAACUGCCUUUGUGACUGCAAGGCUAGAGUACGGCAGAGGGGGAUGGAAUUCCGCGUGUAGCAGUGAAAUGCGUAGAUAUGCGGAGGAACACCGAUUGCGAAGGCAAUCCCCGGUGCCUGUACUGACGGUCAUGCACGAAAGCGUGGGGAGCAAACAGGAUUAGAUACCCUGGUAGUCCACGCCCUAAACGAUGUCAACUGGUUGUUGGGUCUUCAUUGACUCAGUAACGAAGCUAACGCGUGAAGUUGACUGCCUGGGGAGUACGGCCGCAAGGUUGAAACUCAAAUGAAUUGACGGGG
This 395-nucleotide ribosomal RNA is filed under the name uncultured bacterium. RNAcentral describes it as "partial 16S ribosomal RNA". It matches the Rfam family "Bacterial small subunit ribosomal RNA", at positions 523 to 918 of the family's 1533-position model. The record is from RNAcentral.